GGGGGCUGUGGCUCAGUGGAAGAGCCUCUGCUUGGAAAGCAGAAGGUCCCAGGUUCAAUCCCUGGCAUCUCCA
Molecule: non-coding RNA, 73 nt
Organism: Euleptes europaea (tarantolino)
Lineage: Eukaryota; Metazoa; Chordata; Lepidosauria; Squamata; Sphaerodactylidae
Source: the annotation of a RefSeq genome assembly